UAGGGAAUCUUCCGCAAUGGACGCAAGUCUGACGGAGCAACGCCGCGUGAGUGAAGAAGGAUUUCGGUUCGUAAAACUCUGUUGUUAGAGAAGAACAGCGCAUAGAGUAACUGUUAUGCGUGUGACGGUAUCUAACCAGAAAGCCACGGCUAACUACGUGCCAGCAGCCGCGGUAAUACGUAGGUGGCAAGCGUUGUCCGGCUUUAUUGGGCGUAAAGCGAGCGCAGGCGGUCAAUUAAGUCUGAUGUGAAAGCCCCCGGCUCAACCGGGGAGGGUCGUGAGAAACUGGUUGACUUGAGUGCAGAAGAGGAGAGUGGAAUUCCAUGUGUAGCGGUGAAAUACGAAGAUAUGUGGAGGAACACCAGUGGCGAAGGCGACUCUCUGAACUGAAACUGACGCUGAGGCUCGAAAGAGUGGGUGGCAAACAGG
RNAcentral lists this ribosomal RNA (429 nucleotides) under Bacteroidota bacterium. RNAcentral describes it as "Bacteroidetes bacterium partial 16S ribosomal RNA". It matches the Rfam family "Bacterial small subunit ribosomal RNA", at positions 355 to 776 of the family's 1533-position model. The record is from RNAcentral. Lineage: Bacteria; Pseudomonadati; Bacteroidota.